CCCUAUUAUAUCUAGAUAAACUUAGGAAGUAAAGCAUUAAUUAAACCUAUUUACAUUGACGGUUUUCAUUAUCUAGAGGAACAUGUUUAAUAAUCGACAAUCCACGUUAAUUUUAACUUUAAUUAAAAAUUUAUAUACCGCCAUAUAUAAGAAUAUAUACAAAAUAUAUUCUUUUUAUNAAAAAUUAAAAAAUUAGGUCAAGGUGUAAUCAACAUUAAAGCUAUUAUGUGUUACAUUAAAAAUUAUUUAAGGAAUAAAUAUAAUAAAAUUUACGAAAGAGGAUUUAGUAGUAUAUUUUAAAUAAUAAUAUAACUUGAAUUUUUACAGAAAAUGUACACAUCG
RNAcentral lists this ribosomal RNA (342 nucleotides) under Enoploctenus sp. RNAcentral describes it as "partial small subunit ribosomal RNA". Lineage: Eukaryota; Metazoa; Arthropoda; Arachnida; Araneae; Ctenidae. The record is from RNAcentral.